GAUGAACGCUGGCGGCGUGCCUAAUACAUGCAAGUCGAGCGAACGGACGAGAAGCUUGCUUUUCUGAUGUUAGCGGCGGACGGGUGAGUAACACGUGGAUAACCUACCUAUAAGACUGGGAUAACUUCGGGAAACCGGAGCUAAUACCGGAUAAUAUUUUGAACCGCAUGGUUCAAAAGUGAAAGACGGCCUUGCUGUCACUUAUAGACGGAUCCGCGCUGCAUUAGCUAGUUGGUAAGGUAACGGCUUACCAAGGCAACGAUGCAUAGCCGACCUGAGAGGGUGAUCGGCCACACUGGAACUGAGACACGGUCCAGACUCCUACGGGAGGCAGCAGUAGGGAAUCUUCCGCAAUGGGCGCAAGCCUGACGGAGCAACGCCGCGUGAGUGAUGAAGGUCUUCGGAUCGUAAAGCUCUGUUAUUGGGGAAGAACAUCUGUGUGAGUAACUGUGCCCAUCUUGACGGUACCUAAUCAGAAAGCCCCGGCUAACUACGUG
Molecule: ribosomal RNA, 497 nt
Filed under: uncultured bacterium
Lineage: Bacteria
Description: partial 16S ribosomal RNA
Rfam family: Bacterial small subunit ribosomal RNA
Source: RNAcentral